RNAcentral lists this ribosomal RNA (585 nucleotides) under uncultured bacterium. Its description in RNAcentral is "partial 16S ribosomal RNA". It matches the Rfam family "Bacterial small subunit ribosomal RNA", at positions 355 to 1375 of the family's 1533-position model. The record is from RNAcentral.
UGGGGAAUUUUGGACAAUGGGCGCAAGCCUGAUCCAGCCAUGCCGCGUGCGGGAAGAAGGCCUUCGGGUUGUAAACCGCUUUUGUCAGGGAAGAAAUCUUCUGAGUUAAUACCUCGGGAGGAUGACGGUACCUGAAGAAUAAGCACCGGCUAACUACGUGCCAGCAGCCGCGGUAAUACGUAGGGUGCAAGCGUUAAUCGGAAUUACUGGGCGUAAAGCGUGCGCAGGCGGUUUUGUAAGACAGAGGUGAAAUCCCCGGGCUCAACCUGGGAACUGCCUUUGUGACUGCAAGGCUUGAGUGCGGCAGAGGGGGAUGGAAUUCCGCGUGUAGCAGUGAAAUGCGUAGAUAUGCAGAGGAACACCGAUGGCGAAGGCAAUCCCCUGGGCCUGCACUGACGCUCAUGCACGAAAGCGUGGGGAGCAAACAGGAUUAGAUACCCUGGUAGUCCACGCCCUAAACGAUGUCAACUGGUUGUUGGGAAGGUUCCUUCUCAGUAACGUAGCUAACGCGUGAAGUUGACCGCCUGGGGAGUACGGCCGCAAGGUUGAAACUCAAAUGAAUUGACGGGGUCAUAGCUGUUUCCU